Molecule: long non-coding RNA, 1028 nt
Filed under: Oryzias javanicus (javanese ricefish)
Lineage: Eukaryota; Metazoa; Chordata; Actinopteri; Beloniformes; Adrianichthyidae
Description: lncRNA (ENSOJAG00000012059.1)
Source: RNAcentral
GUCAUUUUGUCUUAUAGAUGUUAAAGAUGUGUAGUAAAGCCAGUGUUGCUGCAUUUAUUAACCCUCGUUCUCUCCUAGGCAUGUUUAAAUUUAAAGUGGGGUCAUCUGGACCCCACAAGAUGGAACUGUUUUUCCAAGGAUUUUUUUUAUCUUCACUGGUUUUGGUGGCAGACAUAAAAUCCUGUCUACCUUUGUCCACCUCUAUCAUGGGAGGGAUCACACGUCAAUGUUAGCGUGAGAUCAUCUGGACCCAUAAGAGAGCACAUGGUGUUAACUGGUGGUGGCUAAAAUGUAUGUACUGUAACAUCCUUAAAUCUUGUAAUGUUUUUGUAUUUAACUGUAUAAUUACAGUGAAUGAAAUGAUGCUGUUUUGUUUUUUCACAGUAAAGCAAACAAUUGCCUAGAUGAAGCCUUUGCCAGACAUGAUCCCAUCGCCUGUCGCUCCACCCAAGAAGCUACGACAUUCAAGUGAGGUGAUGCUUCACAUCCUCCAGUCGGCAGAACACCCCAACAUCUUUCUUCAAUCAAGACCUUUCUUCAGUCUUGUGGUGAUCGUCUGUGACACCAACUGUGUAACUGCCAUUGGAACCAUUUCUGUGUUGAUCUUCUCAAAGGAGGACAUACCUGAUAGCUUAUAACAGAUCGUAUAUCAUGGCAUGUUACAUCUUUCACCUUACAGAUCCCAAGUGUAGCAGGACACUCCUGUUAGUGCUGCAGACAGAAGACCUUAUGGACACGAUCCAUGCUGGAGACAUGACUUCCUCUAACAAAAAAAGUAAAUGUUAUUACAACUAUGUAUGUUGAUGUUCAGUCCAAAUGUUUACAGAUGUGAUUGUAAAAAUGUGAAGUUUUUUCUCCCAGUUUUCUAAGUUUACAACAUCAUUUGUCUCUGCUCUUCUUAUGAUGACUUUAGGUUUUCGGAAUCAGUACGAGAGCUUUUUUAUUUUAUCAUACUUGUAGUUAUGUUGCCUAAACAAACAACCUUUAAGUUUCACAGUAUCCUAUCACACAUUUUUGUUUGAUACUCA